Molecule: long non-coding RNA, 1653 nt
Organism: Triticum dicoccoides
Lineage: Eukaryota; Viridiplantae; Streptophyta; Magnoliopsida; Poales; Poaceae
Exons: 5
Source: RefSeq, a predicted model, not a curated record
UGUAAUACCUGUGCCAAUCAAUCUCGCUCGCCUAGCUAAUUGCCUAUCCUCUCACACUUCUUGGUUCGGACAGCCUCAACGGCGACGAGGACAACAGUAGGAUCUAACAUACGGUUCUUGGUCCACCCUUUUCAUCGUACUGGAUUAGGAAUGCUUGCUUGUACCUGGUGCUGAUGGUUGGGGUUCUGCAGACUUGGCAGAGAUCGUGAAUUUUCUCGGUAUCAUGCAAAGCGAUUCAGUUGAGAGGAAUGCAACUCUUUGUUCUUUGAGGCUUACUUUUCUUUAGUGUUAGAUUUUGUUACAUAUCUGCUGUGUGACGAGAAUUGCAAACUCAGAUUCAGCGGGCGCCAUCUUUUGUGGUGUUGCAUGCCAGAGGCAGGCAGUUGGAGCUUCUCCGUCUAAUUGUUAACUUGGUGGAAGCUAGCUGCUAUACCGACAACCUAGAGUGGAGCCAAAUCAGGAGCUUGGAUGAUGUCAGGUUGAAUCUUGAGGUUCUCAAGUACUUGUGAUGAAUAGUUCAGUGAAAUGUACAAAGGGAUAACCUUGGAUGCAGUACUAGAGCAUAGGCGGGACACUACUGGUCCUUGCCCCCACCUCCCUUCCUAGAGGAAAUUUUACCAAAUAUGCUUAUAUUUCUGCUAAUCGUUCUACUAACCCUCCGGCGUCUCUGAUCACCCUAGCCUUUUUUAUGUCAUACACUCAUUUUGGCCCCUCCUAAUAUCCGCUUCAUGCUCCCCCACAGCUUAGAUUGUGAAGACUUGCUUAGUCCAUCCUUUUGCUUUGCUUACUAAUGAUGCCCCAAGAUGCAAAAUACUAAUUAUUUUGCUUUAUGUGUGUGCUACAUUUUAGAUGCAAUUGCUGAUCAACAUCUUUGGCUUCACGGUUAUUCAUGGAAACUGGAUGUGGCAAUGAAACAAAAGGACUUGCACUGGUUGGGAGGCAUGGAGAGUUCAAGUACUAUCUGGGAUACUACUUACAUUGCUAAUAAGUUAACGUCUGGUCCUAAUACUAGGAUUCCCAGCUAUCUUAGUUUCAAGCCCUGUAUGCUGAUUUGAUUGAAGGUGGAAAUGGGACUCCUUUUGGUGCUUAAGUAAUAACUCAAUGAUAGCGGGAACUGGUUGAAUUAUCAAUAUACAUUUGGGCAUAGAGCAUGAGGAUGUAUGAAACUUCUGAACACUUUCAGGUUGUCGGACAAACUGCAACUAUGAACAGUAUGCCUCAUUUGACUCUUGUGGGGGUAGAGCGAUAAAAUAAACAUGUCAUCACUAGGCGAGUUCAAACACUGGAUGGCAAGGCGAUCAUCUAUUUGAAUACACUUAUUCGUUUCAAGGAGGUAGAAGGCGGUGCAGAAGCUGCAGUUUUGACCCCACUUGUGCUAGCCAAUUUUUUUUCUUUGAGAUUUGUGCCAGCCAAUUUGGGUAUGAGUGAUGCUCACGGAGGCCAUUCUACAUAGCUGAUGGACUGUCAUGUCUAUAUAAUUCUUAUAUAGCUGACAAUUCAAUCAUGAAAUGCUAGGGCUCCAUGGAAGGAAAAGGAAAAUGCGUCUGCAAAAUCAGUAGAUUUUGUGAUGGAAGGAUUGGUAGAUUUGAUAUUAUCUUACAACCUAUAAGAACACCGAAUGUGUGAAACAACAUUCGUUAUUGUCCAGCAACG